AACGAAGGUACCGAGCGUUAUCCGGAUUUACUGGGCGUAAAGCGCGUUCAGGCGGUUUGGCAAGUCGGGCAUGAAAUCUCUCGGCUCAACCGGGAGAGGUUGUCCGAUACUUCCAGACUUGAGGGCAGUAGAGGGUGGUGGAAUUCCGGGUGUAGUGGUGAAAUGCGUAGAUAUCCGGAGGAACACCAGUGGCGAAAGCGGCCACCUGGACUGCACCUGACGCUGACACGCGAAAGCUAGGGGAGCGAACGGG
RNAcentral lists this ribosomal RNA (253 nucleotides) under uncultured bacterium. RNAcentral describes it as "partial 16S ribosomal RNA". It matches the Rfam family "Bacterial small subunit ribosomal RNA", at positions 524 to 776 of the family's 1533-position model. The record is from RNAcentral.